Molecule: ribosomal RNA, 228 nt
Filed under: uncultured bacterium
Lineage: Bacteria
Description: partial 16S ribosomal RNA
Rfam family: Bacterial small subunit ribosomal RNA
Source: RNAcentral
UGAGCAAUCUGCCCUUCUCAUCGGAAUAAGCGUUGGAAACGACGUCUAAUGCCGAAUACGACCUCCUUUCGCAUGAUCGGAGGUGGAAAGCUCCGGCGGAGAAGGAUGAGCUCGCGGCCUAUCAGCUUGUUGGUGAGGUAAUAGCUCACCAAGGCGACGACGGGUAGCCGGCCUGAGAGGGCGUCCGGCCACACUGGGACUGAGACACGGCCCAGACUCCUAGGGAGG